This 170-nucleotide unclassified non-coding RNA is filed under the name uncultured Ascomycota. Its description in RNAcentral is "sequence contains ITS1". The record is from RNAcentral. Lineage: Eukaryota; Fungi; Ascomycota.
AAGAGUUGCAAAACUCCCUAAACCGUCGUGAACGCACCUUCAACCGUUGCUUCGGCGGGUUGGCACCGGGUCUCCCGGGGCCCCCGGCCCCACCUCGGGGCGGCCCGCCGGAGGUACCUAACUCUUGAACAUUAAAUGGCCUCUCUGAGUCUUCUGUACUGAAUAAGUCA